Molecule: transfer RNA, 63 nt
Filed under: Mochlus sundevallii (Peters' eyelid skink)
Lineage: Eukaryota; Metazoa; Chordata; Lepidosauria; Squamata; Scincidae
Description: Mochlus sundevalli tRNA-Cys
Source: RNAcentral
AAGCCUUGGCACACCUUCGUGUGCUUCUCUAGAUUUGCAUUCUAGCGUGAGCCACCGCAAGGC